RNAcentral lists this ribosomal RNA (253 nucleotides) under uncultured bacterium. Its description in RNAcentral is "partial 16S ribosomal RNA". It matches the Rfam family "Bacterial small subunit ribosomal RNA", at positions 524 to 776 of the family's 1533-position model. The record is from RNAcentral.
UACGUAGGCAGCAAGCGUUGUUCGGAGUUACUGGGCGUAAAGGGUGUGUAGGCGGUUCCUUAAGUUUGCUGUGAAAUCUCCCGGCUUAACCGGGAGGGUGCGGUGAAUACUGAGGGACUAGAGUACGGGAGAGGAAAGUGGAAUUCCUGGUGUAGCGGUGAAAUGCGUAGAUAUCAGGAGGAACACCGGUGGUGUAGACGGCUUUCUGGACCGUAACUGACGCUGAAACACGAAAGCGUGGGUAGCAAACAGG